This 256-nucleotide ribosomal RNA is filed under the name uncultured bacterium. RNAcentral describes it as "partial 16S ribosomal RNA". It matches the Rfam family "Bacterial small subunit ribosomal RNA", at positions 524 to 777 of the family's 1533-position model. The record is from RNAcentral.
UACGUAGGGGGCAAGCGUUGUCCGGAUUUAUUGGGCGUAAAGAGCGUGUAGGCGGCCUGACAGGUCUGCUGUGAAAACUCGAGGCUCAACCUCGAGAUGUCGGCGGAAACCGUCUGGCUAGAGUCCGGAAGAGGAGAGUGGAAUUCCUGGUGUAGCGGUGAAAUGCGCAGGAUAUCAGGAAGAACACCUAUGGCGAAGGCAGCUCUCUGGGACGGUACUGACGCUGAGACGCGAAAGCGUGGGGAGGCGAACAGGG